CUGAGCCACAACAGGAAAUCUUGGACUGACAGACUCUUUAUGAGAGGCUGCUUGAUGAAGUAAUUAGGGUGAGGCUCUGGAGGCAUACAAGCUGGUUUGAGUCCACCUUAUCACUCUCAAGCUGGAUAAUUUGGUCCCUGUACCUCAAGUUUCCUCUUCUGUAAAAUGGGAUAAAUAACAUCCCUUAGUUCAUUGGGUGGUUCAGAUUAAAUGAGGAGGUAUUAAACAAAUAAGAAGUAUUUAGCUCAAAGGAAUUACCUCUUAUUACAAGAGCAAAGAGUUUGACUGCCAGGCAUGUUUUUAUAAGCGAGAUCUGCAGAAAUAGGCAUUUGCAGAAUGAGGGCUGUGCAAAUCCUAGCUAUAUAGAAUGCCUGGGACAAUGCCUCAUAAGCAAAAGAAUUUGGGAUUUCUUUAAUUCUAUAUUGCCUCAAUUCUACAGUGUUAGUAUUUGAUUUUUUUCAAGGAUUUAAGUUAUGGAAAUCACCCUUUGCAGAAACAAAGUAAAAAAAAAUCGCAAUCUGAAAACAGAUGCAUUGUAUUUUGGGAUGUAAAUUAAACCUUUUAAGAGGCUUUAUGAGGUAGCUUUUCCAGGAUAAUUGCAUUGCAGAGACUCUAGGCCAAUCCAGUUUACCCAAAUGUCCCCUAGCUAUGGAUGCAAAGGGGUCACAUAUAAAUUGAUGCCAUAAUUACAGUGUCUCUGAAUCCAGUAGAUGUUCAAGAAAAUCUUCAGUGCCCCUUGGCCCAGUUAUUGCUGGCAGGCUCUGAGGGGUGUCUCCAUGUGUCUGUGGGAACAUGCCUCUUUCUGUCUCUCCUGCUCCACCUGCCCUGGCUGACUGCCUGUAAAGGAAACUCACAUGUGCCCUGCUGAUGCUACUGCCUGUCCUGGGAUGGCAAUGUCCAUGGUCACGGACACUGUCUCCUGUGACCCCAAAGCUGUCAGCUCUUGGAGAGCCAAAGUAGCCAUGGUGGUGGAGUGGGUCCGCCCAGCCCCUGGGACCAGUCAUUUCAUUCUGGUCCCAGCAAUCACUGUGCAUGGUCAGAGUCCACAAAGUCACUUAUGAAAUCUGUUCUGUCACCUGGCUUUAGCUAGCAACACCUCCAAGGCACCUCAGUUGACCUGGCAGGGAAGAGAGACCAGGCUGUCCCCUGCAACAUCUUCAUCUCCCUUCUCCUCUGCUACCCCAAUUCUGAACACCCCUCCCUACUCCCCAAGUUCUGAGAAGAGCUUCCAAGGCAUCAUCAAACAGAUGCAAACCAGAGGAAAGCUACCUGGCUAGCAGGGAUCAAACAUCAGCUUCAUCAGCCAAAGGCUCUGUGAUGCUGCAACCAGUGCUCAAUACAGUCCUUUGCUUGGCAUUAGUGGCCUAUAAACCUAAAUUGAGAUUUUCAUUAACUUGUAAGAAAAAACAAACCUCAAAUAGAACCCUUACUUUGCUCCACAUUUGUGUCCAGUUGUUUCUCCCUCCAGACCCAGAUAAGGUGAGUGAGGCAUAAAAAAAAUGAGGAACGAUGUAAAAGUGAUAAAGGCAUCAAUAUACCAAUGGGAAAUGCAGAAGAUGGUUUACUACAGGUAAAUUAAUAUUGUAGAUAUUCAUUACAGGCUGAUACAAGACAGCAAGCUAUCAAAGUAAUGAUUCUUUCAAAGGGCUCUUUGGCAAAGGCUGUAAUGCAUUGGUUAAUAUUUCUUAUUUAACUAAAAGUCAUGAUUAAUCUUCAUUUCUGCCUAAAAUUAACUUCUUCCACUUCAGUAAAUUGACCAUAUAGAAUUAGAAUGAAUUCCUUUAUUCCUUCACAGCAUAGUACUGAAUUUCUACUGUGUAUAGGCACUGUUUGGAUUGGUGGGGGUGGGUACGAUAUCUGAUUGACCAAGUGGACCAGGCCCUGACUUCAUGGGUUUUCCUUUUGGUAAUUGAGGGACAAUCAACAAACAAAGGAGAAAUACUUAACAUCAGGUAGUGAUCUCAAAGAUAAACAAAGGGACUACAGGUGAUGGUAUUUUAGAGAGGACCAAGUCAGUCUCUCUGGAGGUGACAUCUAAGCAGCUGUGGGAUCGAAACAGGGCAGCACUGAAAUGGGGUUAUCUGGAGAGAAGCAUGUCCAGUAGGGAAAAUAGCAAGUGCAAAAGUCCUGAGGUGCUCAAUACAGUUAAAGAGCAGAAAUGGGGGCAGAGAGGGACAGAGGGAAGGGAUGCCAAGAAGUGGUGUCAAGUGUGCCUUGCCAUAGUUGCUCCUGGUGAGAGCUUGGAUUUUCCCCUGCGUAGGUGAUAAUUACAGCUUAUUUCUGACAUUAGAAUCUAAAAAUAAUCUGAACAUUUCUUUAGCAGAUGCUAUGCUAAAUGCAGGCACCCUGAUCCUCUUCAGGCCUUACAUACCCAUUGAGUCCCCUCAAAUCAAACCCUUUUCAACCGGAAGCUGCAGGUUUAAGGGAACUGCGUCAUCCAAGCUCACACCCCUGCCACACCAGCCGCAGCCAAUGGCUGUUCAUCGUGAGCGCCCAGCCCCUUGCCUCGGCUGAAAUACCUCUAAGGGUCAGGCUAGUUUUCCGCCUUCUGUGGAAUGGGCAGAACUCUGCUGCCAUUGCACCGCAGUCUGAGAUCUCCUUCCCUCAUUCCUGCUAGCCUCAUCCCGUACACCUGUUAAGACUACUCAGUAAAUCUCCGAGUCUCUCCCUGAGAGAUCUCAACCAGGGAUGAUUCUGAACAACAGACUCCAUUAUACACAUCUCUGUGGAUGGAGAAUAAAAAGACAACAGAUGUGUUCCCACAAGUUGACAGAAACGCAGGUGUAGGUAGAGAAUUCUAACUGUCCACCUGUCUCAAUGGAAUUCUGCUUCCUUGGUCAGCCAUGUCUCCAGCCUUUGUCAGCUGACCUUACAGAUCUGGAAGUGACUCGGAGGAUAUCUUCCUUUCAAAGUUGGGAUUGCCUCCCCUCCUUCAGAGAGAGGUCAUUGAUGCUGGUUGUCCUGAAGGUUUGAGAGGCAGAGACCCUGGGUUCCCGGGCCAGGCUGAUGCUG
This is a non-coding RNA of Sus scrofa (pig), 3012 nucleotides long. Lineage: Eukaryota; Metazoa; Chordata; Mammalia; Artiodactyla; Suidae. The record is from RefSeq and is a predicted model, not a curated record.